AGAGUUUGAUCAUGGCUCAGGACGAACGCUGGCGGCGUGCCUAAUACAUGCAAGUCGAGCGGAUUUACCCUUCGGGGUAAGUCAGCGGCGGACGGGUGAGUAACACGUAGGCAACCUGCCUGUAAGAUCGGGAUAACUACCGGAAACGGUAGCUAAGACCGGAUAAGUGAUUUCUUCGCAUGAAGAGAUCAAGAAACACGGGGCAACCUGUGGCUUACAGAUGGGCCUGCGGCGCAUUAGCUAGUUGGUGGGGUAACGGCUCACCAAGGCGACGAUGCGUAGCCGACCUGAGAGGGUGAUCGGCCACACUGGGACUGAGACACGGCCCAGACUCCUACGGGAGGCAGCAGUAGGGAAUCUUCCGCAAUGGACGCAAGUCUGACGGAGCAACGCCGCGUGAGUGAUGAAGGUUUUCGGAUCGUAAAGCUCUGUUGCCAAGGAAGAACGCCUCGGAGGGUAACUGCUCCGGGGGUGACGGUACUUGAGAAGAAAGCCCCGGCUAACUACGUGCCAGCAGCCGCGGUAAUACGUAGGGGGCAAGCGUUGUCCGGAAUUAUUGGGCGUAAAGCGCGCGCAUGCGGCCGCUUAAGUUUGGUGUUUAAGCCCGAAGCUCUCCCCGGUUCGCACCGAAAACUGGGCGGAUUGAGUGCAGGAGACGAAAGCAGAAUUCCACAGGUAAGAGAUCAUGCGAA
RNAcentral lists this ribosomal RNA (692 nucleotides) under Paenibacillus sp. IR-976. RNAcentral describes it as "bacterial SSU rRNA". It matches the Rfam family "Bacterial small subunit ribosomal RNA", at positions 8 to 692 of the family's 1533-position model. Lineage: Bacteria; Bacillati; Bacillota; Bacilli; Caryophanales; Paenibacillaceae. The record is from RNAcentral.